This 567-nucleotide small RNA is filed under the name Pan troglodytes (chimpanzee). RNAcentral's name for it is "retained intron". The record is from RNAcentral. Lineage: Eukaryota; Metazoa; Chordata; Mammalia; Primates; Hominidae.
AUCUUAGAAUCAGUGGCUCCUUGGGGGAACUCUUCUGAAAUAGCUAUUGAUAUACCCUCUGUUUAGAUACACUGCAUUUCUCUCCCUAAAAGCUAUAGCUCCCUAAAAGCAAGCUGUAGACUUGCAUUAAUGGCAUCCUUUUCAUCUUCAAACCUACUUGUGAAUUUGUUUCUUUUCUCUACUAGGAGCAGAUCCCUGCUUAUAUCAAAACGGAGGCUGUGAACAUAUUUGCAAAAAGAGGCUUGGAACUGCUUGGUGUUCGUGUCGCGAAGGUUUUAUGAAAGCCUCAGAUGGGAAAACGUGUCUGGCUCUGGAUGGUCAUCAGCUGUUGGCAGGUGGUGAAGUUGAUCUAAAGAACCAAGUAACACCAUUGGACAUCUUGUCCCAGACUAGAGUGUCAGAAGAUAACAUUACAGAAUCUCAACACAUGCUAGUGGCUGAAAUCAUGGUGUCAGAUCAAGAUGACUGUGCUCCUGUGGGAUGCAGCACGUAUGCUCGGUGUAUUUCAGAGGGAGAGGAUGCCACAUGUCAGUGUUUGAAAGGAUUUGCUGGGGAUGGAAAACUAUG